GAUGAACGCUGGCGGCGUGCCUAAUACAUGCAAGUCGAGCGAACAGACGAGGAGCUUGCUCCUCUGACGUUAGCGGCGGACGGGUGAGUAACACGUGGAUCCCCUCCCUAUAAGACUGGGAUAACUUCGGGAAACCGGCUCUAAUCCCGGAUAAUCUAUUGAACCGCAUUGUUCAAUAGUGAAAGACGGUUUUGCUGUCACUUAUAGAUGGAUCCCCGCCGCAUUAGCUAGUUGGUAAGUUAACGGCUUACCAAGGCAACGCUGCGUAGCCGACCUGAGAGGGUGAUCGGCGACACUGGAACGGAGACACGGUCCAGACGCCUACGGGAGGGAGCAGUAGGGAAUCUGCCGCAAUGGGCGGAAGCCUGACGGAGCAACGCCGCGUGAGUGAUGAAGGUCUUCGGACCGUAAAACUCUGUUAUUAGGGAAGAACAAAUGUGUAAGUAACUAUGCACGUCUUGACGGUACCUAAUAAGAAAGCCACGGCUAACUACGUG
RNAcentral lists this ribosomal RNA (497 nucleotides) under uncultured bacterium. Its description in RNAcentral is "partial 16S ribosomal RNA". It matches the Rfam family "Bacterial small subunit ribosomal RNA", at positions 28 to 507 of the family's 1533-position model. The record is from RNAcentral.